UUGCUUCAAACUUCUCGGAGCCAGAAUCCCAUAUCAACCACAUUAUGAAAAAAUGAAUCUAUGGACACACAAGACUGGGGUUGAUAAAAGCAACGAUCAACAAAUUAUGGUUUCCAAGCAGCUGGCGGAGGUGGUGGAGUAGGGAACAUGGGUGGUACUGCUGAGAAUAUCGUGUUCUUGUCAAUUCCAACACUCUUAUCUCCAGAUAGAGCUACGAGGGCUGCAACCAAACCGGCAUUUCCAGCAAGUGUUGGCUCGGUAUAAUUGUAAUUAGUACGAACAUCAUGGAAACCAUCAUUCUUGUCUGGCCCAGCAACCAUGGCUCCAACAAGAG
This is a long non-coding RNA of Solanum verrucosum, 334 nucleotides long. RefSeq lists it as uncharacterized. The transcript has 2 exons. Lineage: Eukaryota; Viridiplantae; Streptophyta; Magnoliopsida; Solanales; Solanaceae. The record is from RefSeq and is a predicted model, not a curated record.